RNAcentral lists this ribosomal RNA (305 nucleotides) under uncultured bacterium. RNAcentral describes it as "bacterial SSU rRNA". It matches the Rfam family "Bacterial small subunit ribosomal RNA", at positions 335 to 639 of the family's 1533-position model. The record is from RNAcentral.
UCCCUACGGGAGGCAGCAGUGAGGAAUAUUGGUCAAUGGACGGAAGUCUGAACCAGCCAUGCCGCGUGCAGGAAGACGGCUCUAUGAGUUGUAAACUGCUUUUGUACAAGGGUAAACCUGAAUACGUGUAUUCAGCUGAAAGUACUGUACGCAUAAGGAUCGGCUAACUCCGUGCCAGCAGCCGCGGUAAUACGGAGGAUCCAAGCGUUAUCCGGAUUUAUUGGGUUUAAAGGGUGCGUAGGCGGACAGUCAAGUCAGCGGUAAAAAUGCGGUGCUCAACGCCGUACAGCCGUUGAAACUGGCAG